Molecule: ribosomal RNA, 301 nt
Filed under: uncultured bacterium
Lineage: Bacteria
Description: partial 16S ribosomal RNA
Rfam family: Bacterial small subunit ribosomal RNA
Source: RNAcentral
CAGCAGCCCGGGAAAACGAAGGGUGCAAGCGUUACUCGGAAUUACUGGGCGUAAAGCGUGUGUAGGUGGUUGUUUAAGUCUGUCGUGAAGGCCCUGGGCUCAACCUGGGAAUUGCGAUGGAUACUGGGCGACUAGAGUGCGGUAGAGGAUAGUGGAACUUCCGGUGUAGCAGUGAAAUGCGUAGAGAUCGGAAGGAACAUCUGUGGCGAAGGCGACUAUCUGGGCCAACACUGACACUGAGACACGAAAGCGUGGGGAGCAAACAGGAUUAGAUACCCAAGUAGUCCCUGUCUCUUAUACA